This 347-nucleotide ribosomal RNA is filed under the name uncultured bacterium. RNAcentral describes it as "bacterial SSU rRNA". It matches the Rfam family "Bacterial small subunit ribosomal RNA", at positions 8 to 350 of the family's 1533-position model. The record is from RNAcentral.
AGAGUUUGAUCAUGGCUCAGGAUGAACGCUAGCUACAGGCUUAACACAUGCAAGUCGAGGGGCAGCAUGUUGGUUGCUUGCAACCAACGAUGGCGACCGGCGCACGGGUGAGUAACGCGUAUCCAACCUACCCUUGUCCAUCGGAUAACCCGUCGAAAGGCGGCCUAACACGAUAUGCGGUUCACAGCAGGCAUCUAACGUGAACGAAAUGUAAAGGAGAAGGAUGGGGAUGCGUCUGAUUAGCUUGUUGGCGGGGUAACGCCACCAAGGCUACGAUCAGUAGGGUUCUGGAGAGGAAGGUCCCCCAGACUUGGAACUGAGACACGGUCCAAACUCCUAGAGAGGCA